UACGUAGGUGGCGAGCGUUAUCCGGAAUGAUUGGGCGUAAAGGGUGCGCAGGCGGCGCAUUAAGUUUGAAGUAAAAGGUAGCGGCUCAACCGCUGCAAGCUUCGAAAACUGGUGUGCUGGAGUGCAGGAGAGGGCAGUGGAAUUCCAUGUGUAGCGGUAAAAUGCGUAGAUAUAUGGAGGAACACCGGUGGCGAAGGCGGCUGCCUGGCCUGUAACUGACGCUGAGGCACGAAAGCGUGGGGAGCAAACAGG
This 252-nucleotide ribosomal RNA is filed under the name uncultured bacterium. RNAcentral describes it as "partial 16S ribosomal RNA". It matches the Rfam family "Bacterial small subunit ribosomal RNA", at positions 524 to 776 of the family's 1533-position model. The record is from RNAcentral.